This 370-nucleotide ribosomal RNA is filed under the name uncultured bacterium. Its description in RNAcentral is "bacterial SSU rRNA". It matches the Rfam family "Bacterial small subunit ribosomal RNA", at positions 527 to 896 of the family's 1533-position model. The record is from RNAcentral.
GUAGGGAGCGAGCGUUGUCCGAAGUUACUGGGCGUAAAGCGCGCGUAGGCGGGUCUAAAAGUCGGAGGUGAAAUGCUGUGGCUCAACCACAUGCAGUGCCUCCGAUACUUUAGGUCUUGAGUGAGGUAGGGAGAAGUGGAAUGGCUGGUGUAGCGGUGAAAUGCGUAGAUAUCAGUCGGAACACCGGUGGCGAAGGCGGCUUCUUGGGCCUUUACUGACGCUGAGGCGCGAAAGCCAGGGGAGCGAACGGGAUUAGAUACCCCGGUAGUCCUGGCCGUAAACGAUGUCAACUGGUUGUUGGGUCUUCACUGACUCAGUAACGAAGCUAACGCGUGAAGUUGACCGCCUGGGGAGUACGGCCGCAAGGUUG